GUCUGCACCCAUCAUCAAAGUAUCCUACAAAAAAUAUGAUUUUUCUCAUUAUCAGUCUUCAUUUACAAAGACAAGAAAAGGCCAAAUGACAAGUUCCAUUAUACUGCUAUCAUCUAUGAGUAUGACAAUGAAGAUUUAAAUUGCCUUGAGCAAUAAAAAACAGACUAUGUUCAGUGAGCUGAUCAAAGCAGAAAACAAUCCUGCUUCAAUGAAAAUUUAAAGGAGGUCUUGCUCUUGCACUUUUGCUGUUUUGCUAACCCAUGCUCAGAUAAAAAGAAUGGUUAAGGUGGUGGCAUCAUGCACAAGAAAAGGGAAAAGCAUGCUCACUGAAAGGUCAACACCACUCUCCA
This 350-nucleotide unclassified non-coding RNA is filed under the name Hevea brasiliensis (rubber tree). The record is from RNAcentral. Lineage: Eukaryota; Viridiplantae; Streptophyta; Magnoliopsida; Malpighiales; Euphorbiaceae.